AGUUCUAGCUGGCAGUUCCAGCUUUUCCACGGCCAUGCGGACAGUCCUGCCAGCUUUGUGCUAUCUGCACCAAUGUCACUCUGCAGCACCCGUGUCUGUGGCGUGUUCCUGGCGAAUGGGAUGUAUUCAUCAUUAACUGAAAUGUCUCGUCUGCAGUACAAGAUUCUGCUGUACUCACUGGACGGCCGGUUGUUGUCUGCGUACAGCGCUUACGAGUGGUCCCUGGGCAUCAAGUCUGUGGCCUGGAGCCCUAGCAGUCAGUUUCUGGCAGUUGGGAGCUACGAUGGAAAGGUGCGCAUCCUUAAUCACGUGACUUGGAAAAUGAUCACGGAGUUUGGGCAUCCUGCAACCAUUAAUAAUCCCAAGAUAGUGGUGUAUAAGGAGGCCGAGAAGAGCCCGCAGCUGGGACUGGGCUGCCUCUCCUUCCCACCCCACCGGGCCGGGGCCGGCCCUCUCCCGAGCUCAGAGAGUAAAUGUAAGUAGCACACGUGAUGUCAUUUGUUUUCCUUUUUUAAUGCAAGAUUCCUCGUUGUCCAGAUAAACUUCGGAUGUUCCUUAUGUUU
This 563-nucleotide small RNA is filed under the name Pongo abelii (Sumatran orangutan). Its description in RNAcentral is "retained intron". The record is from RNAcentral. Lineage: Eukaryota; Metazoa; Chordata; Mammalia; Primates; Hominidae.